Molecule: non-coding RNA, 30 nt
Filed under: Mus musculus (house mouse)
Lineage: Eukaryota; Metazoa; Chordata; Mammalia; Rodentia; Muridae
Source: RNAcentral
UAUCAGUGUUUCUGUUGGGGGACAUACAGC